CUCAGGUUGGCUCUCACUCCCUCUGGGAACAUUCCCUCAGCCCCAAAAGUUGGCUGCAGUGUCUCUGCUGGUCCCCCCACAGUGCUGGGUACUUCCGGCCACAGCACACAUCAGCUGGUAUGGCUUACAUGGCCAUGUGUCCCCCACCUGACGCUGAGCUCCCAAGGGCAGGACCUGCAGGCCAGGCCUGGAGGCAGCUUGUGCUCUGCUGGCCUCCUGGGUGAGGGCCCAGUCUAUGCAAGGGACUCCUCGGCACUCUCUCCUGCUGGCUUUACUGAUGCAGCUCCAUGAGCAGACCGUGCCUGUGCCACACAGGAGCUGUGCUCAGAGCCGCGGCACGCACAGAUGGCAGGGACCCUCCCUGAGCUCGACGAUCAGGGAGCUGAGCCCAGAGACAGCAAACUCAGUGAGCAUCAGGGAUGUGAUAAAUGUCCCAGGAGCCCACAGGCCACCCUUCUUGGUGUCUGCAGAGGGGUCUGAUCUUGCCACUGCCCUCCAAGAGCUCCAUGAAGGCCGUGCUCUGAGACCAAGAAGAUGCGGCACGCCACAGCCUGCCCAGCAGUCUUCCUGGAGAGAAGAGUUGGCUCCACUUAAUGGCCUGGCCCCAAGCGCUCUCACAGACACCCGCCAGGCCAGGGCUCUGGUGUCCAUGUGAACAUCUGCCGCCCCCGUAAAGCUGCAGCAGUUGCCUGUCACCAAGACGUCACUCCGUAAAUCUGCACGACAACUCGAUUGGUCCUGAGCUAACAUCUGUGCCAAUCUUCCUCUAUUUUGUACAUGGGAUGCUGCCACAGUGUGACUUGAGCAGUGUGUAGGUCCAUACCCAGGGUUCUGAACCCACCAACCCUGGGCUGCUGAAGCAGAGUGCCCGAACUUAACCACUACACCACCAGGCCAGCCCCUCACAGCUACUCUUUGAAAGAGGUGUUGCUACCACAUUUUCCAAGUGAAGAAAAUGAAGUUUAAUAAAGUGUCCAAAUUGAUACAAAAAGACAGUGGCAGGGCUGGGAGCCAAUCCACACUGGCUGAUGCCAGCAUCUGUGCUCAAUCUAAUGCAUCCCACUGCACGUAACAGGUUUGUAUUAAACUGACAGCAAAGCAUGGCUGCACGCCUAACAAGUCCCUUCAAAAGG
This 1133-nucleotide long non-coding RNA is filed under the name Equus caballus (horse). Its description in RNAcentral is "lncRNA (ENSECAG00000059546.1)". The record is from RNAcentral. Lineage: Eukaryota; Metazoa; Chordata; Mammalia; Perissodactyla; Equidae.